GACGAACGCUGGCGGCGCGCUUAACACAUGCAAGUCGGACGGAAAGGCCUGCUUUCCCUUGUGGAUUGCGGGUACUCGAGUGGCGAACGGGUGAGUAACACGUGAGUGAUCUGCCCCCAACUUGGGUAUAAGCCUGGGAAACUGGGUCUAAUUCCCGAUAGGACUGCAGGGUGGUGCCUGUGGUGGAAAACGAUUUUCUAGUGGUUGGGGAUGAGCUCGCGGCCUAUCAGCUUGUUGGUGGGGUAAUGGCCUACCAAGGCGGCGACGGGUAGCCGGCCUGAGAGGGUGGACCGCCACAUUGGGACUGAGAUACGGCCCAGACUCCUACGGGAGGCAGCAGUGGGGAAUAUUGCACAAUGGGCGGAAGCCUGAUGCAGCGACGCCGCGUGGGGGAUGACGGCCUUCGGGUUGUAAACUCCUUUCGACCGCGAGGAAGCCACCUGGUUGGAAGGGUGGUGACGGUAGUGGUAGAAGAAGCACCGGCUAACUACGUG
Molecule: ribosomal RNA, 494 nt
Filed under: uncultured bacterium
Lineage: Bacteria
Description: partial 16S ribosomal RNA
Rfam family: Bacterial small subunit ribosomal RNA
Source: RNAcentral